RNAcentral lists this ribosomal RNA (580 nucleotides) under Gibbium aequinoctiale. Its description in RNAcentral is "partial 16S ribosomal RNA". The record is from RNAcentral. Lineage: Eukaryota; Metazoa; Arthropoda; Insecta; Coleoptera; Ptinidae.
GUCCUAUAGAUAAUAAUUUUAGGUCUAAUCUGCUCAAUGAAUUAUUAAAUGGCCGCGGUAUUUUGACCGUGCUAAGGUAGCAUAAUAAUUAGUUCUUUAAUUGGGAACUGGAAUGAAUGAUUGGACGAGAAUUAAACUGUCUCUUUUUAAAAAUUAGAAUUUUAUUUUUAAGUUAAAAAGCUUAAAUGUUUUAAAAAGACGAGAAGACCCUAUAGAUUUUUAUAAUUUCUUAUUUCAUUUUUUUUAGAAUUUAUUAAAAUUGAAUUAGGUUUUAUUUUGUUGGGGUGACAAAAAGAUUUAUUAAACUUUUUUUUGUUAAUACAUUAAUUUAUGAUUUUUUGAUCCAAAGUUUUUGAUUAUAAGAUCAAAUUACCUUAGGGAUAACAGCGUUAUCUUUCUUGAAAGUUCUUAUAGAUAGAAAGGUUUGCGACCUCGAUGUUGGAUUAAAAUUAAUUUUCAAUGCAGAAGUUGAAUUAUUUAGUCUGUUCGACUAUUAAAAUUUUGACUAUUAAAAUUUUUCAAUGCAGAAGUUGAAUUAUUUAGUCUGUUCGACUAUUAAAAUUUUGACUAUUAAAAUUUU